GACGAACGCUGGCGGCGUGCUUAACACAUGCAAGUCGAGCGGUAAGGCCCUUUCGGGGGUACACGGAGCGGCGAACGGGUGAGUAACACGUGGGUGACCUGCCCUCAGCUCUGGGAUAAGGCCUGGGAAACCCGGGUCUAAAUACUGGAUAUGACUCCAUGACGCAUGUUGUGGGGUGAAAGCCUUGUNCGGCUGAGGAUGGGCCCGCGGCCUAUCAGCUUGUUGGUGGGGU
RNAcentral lists this ribosomal RNA (232 nucleotides) under uncultured bacterium. RNAcentral describes it as "partial 16S ribosomal RNA". It matches the Rfam family "Bacterial small subunit ribosomal RNA", at positions 28 to 258 of the family's 1533-position model. The record is from RNAcentral.